This 489-nucleotide ribosomal RNA is filed under the name uncultured bacterium. RNAcentral's name for it is "bacterial SSU rRNA". It matches the Rfam family "Bacterial small subunit ribosomal RNA", at positions 29 to 507 of the family's 1533-position model. The record is from RNAcentral.
AUGAACGCUAGCUACAGGCUUAACACAUGCAAGUCGAGGGGCAGCAUGGUCUUAGCUUGCUAAGACUGAUGGCGACCGGCGCACGGGUGAGUAACACGUAUCCAACCUGCCGUCUACUCUUGGACAGCCUUCUGAAAGGAAGAUUAAUACAAGAUGGCAUCAUGAGUCCGCAUGUUCACAUGAUUAAAGGUAUUCCGGUAGACGAUGGGGAUGCGUUCCAUUAGAUAGUAGGCGGGGUAACGGCCCACCUAGUCUUCGAUGGAUAGGGGUUCUGAGAGGAAGGUCCCCCACAUUGGAACUGAGACACGGUCCAAACUCCUACGGGAGGCAGCAGUGAGGAAUAUUGGUCAAUGGGCGAGAGCCUGAACCAGCCAAGUAGCGUGAAGGAUGACUGCCCUAUGGGUUGUAAACUUCUUUUAUAAAGGAAUAAAGUCGGGUAUGCAUACCCGUUUGCAUGUACUUUAUGAAUAAGGAUCGGCUAACUCCGUG